GGGUCCUUAGCUCAGUCGCUUAAUUUAUAAAGCUAGGGCAGUUGGCUUUUAACCAAUCAGUCGAAUGGUUUAAAUCCUUCACGAUUCCCCA
Molecule: transfer RNA, 91 nt
Filed under: Shewanella decolorationis S12
Lineage: Bacteria; Pseudomonadati; Pseudomonadota; Gammaproteobacteria; Alteromonadales; Shewanellaceae
Description: tRNA-Lys
Rfam family: tRNA
About the family: Transfer RNA (tRNA) molecules are approximately 80 nucleotides in length. Their secondary structure includes four short double-helical elements and three loops (D, anti-codon, and T loops).
Source: RNAcentral